RNAcentral lists this non-coding RNA (30 nucleotides) under Cricetulus griseus (Chinese hamster). The record is from RNAcentral. Lineage: Eukaryota; Metazoa; Chordata; Mammalia; Rodentia; Cricetidae.
UCCACGGACUCUGUCAUCUCCUUAGGUGGC